RNAcentral lists this ribosomal RNA (263 nucleotides) under uncultured bacterium. RNAcentral describes it as "partial 16S ribosomal RNA". It matches the Rfam family "Bacterial small subunit ribosomal RNA", at positions 793 to 1055 of the family's 1533-position model. The record is from RNAcentral.
GUCCACGCCGUAAACGAUGUCGACUAGCCGUUGGAGACCUUAGUGUUUUAGUGGCGAAGCUAACGCGAUAAGUCGACCGCCUGGGGAGUACGGCCGCAAGGUUAAAACUCAAAUGAAUUGACGGGGGCCCGCACAAGCGGUGGAGCAUGUGGUUUAAUUCGAUGCAACGCGAAGAACCUUACCAGGUCUUGACAUCCAGAGAACUUUCCAGAGAUGGAUUGGUGCCGCAAGGAGCUCUGAGACAGGUGCUGCAUGGCUGUCGU